This 117-nucleotide ribosomal RNA is filed under the name Danio rerio (zebrafish). Lineage: Eukaryota; Metazoa; Chordata; Actinopteri; Cypriniformes; Danionidae. The record is from RNAcentral.
UGCCACAGCCAUAUCACACCGCUGACCAAGACCGGUUACUCACUGAAGCUAAGCAGGGCUGAGCCUGGUCAGUACCUGGAUGGGAGAGCACUUGGGAAAACUAGGUUGCUGUCGGAA